GGGAGGUAAAUUUCUUCAAAAGCUAAAUAUUGGCCAGAGACCGAUAGCGAACAAGUAGAGUGAUCGAAAGAUGAAAAGCACUUUGGAAAGAGAGUUAAACAGUAUGUGAAAUUGCUGAAAGGGAAGCGCUUGCAAUCAGACUUGUGUGKGGCUGUUCAGCCUGGCUUUUUGUCAGGUGUAUUCAGUUGCUAACAGGCCAGCAUCAGUUUGGAUGGCAGGAAAAAGACUCAUUGAACGUAGCUCCAUUUCGUCAGAUUUAGAGUGUUAUAGCUUUGGGUGUCAUGCUGUCAAUCCGGACUGAGGAUCGCGUCCUUGUGGCUYGGAUGCUGGCGUAAUGGUUGUAAGCGGCCCGUCUUGAAACACGGACCAAGGAGUCUAACAUCUGUGCGAGUGUUUGGGUGUCAAGCCCACACGCGUAAUGAAAGUGAACGGAGGUGGGAACCCCCUCGGGGAUGCACCAUCGACCGAUCCUGAUGUUCUCGGAUGGAUUGA
This 492-nucleotide ribosomal RNA is filed under the name Pyxidiophora sp. Its description in RNAcentral is "partial large subunit ribosomal RNA". Lineage: Eukaryota; Fungi; Ascomycota; Laboulbeniomycetes; Pyxidiophorales; Pyxidiophoraceae. The record is from RNAcentral.